This 84-nucleotide transfer RNA is filed under the name Hungatella hathewayi. RNAcentral describes it as "tRNA-Leu". It matches the Rfam family "tRNA". Rfam says of the family: Transfer RNA (tRNA) molecules are approximately 80 nucleotides in length. Lineage: Bacteria; Bacillati; Bacillota; Clostridia; Lachnospirales; Lachnospiraceae. The record is from RNAcentral.
GCCGGUAUGGUGGAAUUGGUAGACGCGGCGGGUUCAGAACCCGUGAGAGUAAUCUCGUGUUGGUUCGAGUCCGACUACCGGUAC